ACCCAGACCGCCAGCUAAGGUCCCAAAGUCAUGGUUAAGUGGGAAACGAUGUGGGAAGGCCCAGACAGCCAGGAUGUUGGCUUAGAAGCAGCCAUCAUUUAAAGAAAGCGUAAUAGCUCACUGGUCGAGUCGGCCUGCGCGGAAGAUGUAACGGGGCUAAACCAUGCACCGAAGCUGCGGCAGCGACGCUUAUGCGUUGUUGGGUAGGGGAGCGUUCUGUAAGCCGUUGAAGGUGGCCUGUGAGGGUUGCUGGAGGUAUCAGAAGUGCGAAUGCUGACAUAAGUAACGAUAAAGCGGGUGAAAAGCCCGCUCGCCGGAAGACCAAGGGUUCCUGUCCAACGUUAAUCGGGGCAGGGUGAGUCGACCCCUAAGGCGAGGCCGAAAGGCGUAGUCGAUGGGAAACAGGUUAAUAUUCCUGUACUUGGUGUUACUGCGAAGGGGGGACGGAGAAGGCUAUGUUAGCCGGGCGACGGUUGUCCCGGUUUAAGCAUGUAGGCGGAGGUUCCAGGUAAAUCCGGUACCUUUU
This 526-nucleotide ribosomal RNA is filed under the name Enterobacter cloacae. RNAcentral's name for it is "bacterial LSU rRNA". It matches the Rfam family "Bacterial large subunit ribosomal RNA", at positions 1025 to 1553 of the family's 2925-position model. The record is from RNAcentral. Lineage: Bacteria; Pseudomonadati; Pseudomonadota; Gammaproteobacteria; Enterobacterales; Enterobacteriaceae.